CGCUGGAAGCAUGACGGUGUGCGCGUCAUUCCCGGCAAUCAGCUCGACUCGAAUGUGCCGUCCACCACCGGCAUGGACCGCAAGGCUGCGAUCAAUUUCGCGCGGGUCGGCGCGCAGAAGCUGUGGGCCGGAACGGUGACGAUCAGGCCGGACGCAAAGACCGGCGCGCACCAUCACGGUCAUCUGGAAAGCGUCAUCUAUGUCGUGAAGGGCAAGGCGCGCAUGCGCUGGGGCGAACAUCUCCAGUUCACCGCCGAGGCCGGGCCGGGCGAUUUCAUCUUCGUGCCGCCUUACGUGCCGCAUCAGGAGAUCAACGCCAGCCCCGACGAAGUGCUCGAAUGCGUGCUGGUGCGCAGUGACGGCGAAGCCGUCGCUAUCAAUCUGGAUAUCGAGCCGGUGGAGAAGCCGGAGACCGUAUUGUGGGUCGAUCCGAUUCACCGCGACCCUGCGGAGAAGGCCUGAAAUCACCGGUAUCCGAG
This 479-nucleotide unclassified non-coding RNA is filed under the name Hevea brasiliensis (rubber tree). The record is from RNAcentral. Lineage: Eukaryota; Viridiplantae; Streptophyta; Magnoliopsida; Malpighiales; Euphorbiaceae.